This 500-nucleotide long non-coding RNA is filed under the name Crocodylus porosus (Australian saltwater crocodile). Its description in RNAcentral is "lncRNA (ENSCPRG00005015936.1)". The record is from RNAcentral. Lineage: Eukaryota; Metazoa; Chordata; Crocodylia; Crocodylidae.
UGCGUGUAUGUAUAUUGAUCAAUAAGUAUAUCUGAGAAGGCAGGUCUUACCUUUUGCAUUUUGCAUUUGGAGCAGAAGCUGAUGAGCUUUGAGGAUUCUGCUAGUUAUGGGAGCGCCACAGUUUUGGACUAGUCAUAAAAUAGAUCUCAGUCCCACACAGAACAACUUGACCCAUAUAAGAGAGUAUUUGGCAUAGAUCCUGCAUGGUGCUGGCCAAGUUCUUGACUGCAAAGAUCACUUCUCACUUCUGGGUUGGAAGGUGUCACCCUCAGUCUACAAACCACUGCAUGUAGGUCAGGAUACAAAGUGAAGAAAAGCCUAUUCAAAGAAAAAUUAAGUUUAAGUGUGGUGCUCUGAUCCCAGCGCAAGCAGCACGCUCCUCUUGCAACAGCUCUGCUGCCUCCCGGCUCUGGAAAAUUCCUGCUUCACUACUCAGCCUCACCUGGAGACACACCCCAGCUUGGGGGGGUGCUGCAGGCAAGGAAUGGGAUGUACUCAUG